GCUUCACCAGCAAGGAAGAACUCAGGCAGCCAGCUCUCCAGCUUGCCGGGAACUCUGCAAACUGCUCCAGUGUAUCACCUUGUCAAGAACAAUGCUUGCCCCCUCUACCUUUGGGAGCAUCGUUUGCUUGUUUCCCUAAGGUUACCUGUCACAGAGCAUACCUUCAUCUCAGAGGAGGCAAACCUACCAAGUGUACCCACCCAGAAUGCACAGUGUCUUUUUUUUCCACCCACAGUUCCUUUCCUCUGGAGGCCUAGGAAAAACCUCCUCUGCUGCUAUCUGAUGUUGACACCAGCUUCGUACACCAGGUUCUUCCAUUCCAAGGUAUUUUCAUCAUGUCAUCAGAGAUUCAGAGUUUGCACUGCUGGCAAGUGGCUUGCAGACAAAGGUGAGUAAAAUUCUGUUAUCUGGGUAUCCAUUACCAGUCUAUCCAUAAGCCAAGGAAUCUUUCCUUCAAGUGAUAUCUUGAAUUAUGAAGAACCAGCUGAGGAUGCUAGAAGCUACAGUAGAAACUGUUGAGACUAUGUAGCAGAAAGCAAAUCCAUGGACUGAAGCAGACAUUCAUGUGCCAGGGGUAUAGGUUAGUAUUACCACUAUUUUAAAUGGUGUGAAAAAUCGGGGGACUGAUUUUAUCAUACCCUCCCUCAGGCUGGUAUUCAGAUUGGAGGCAAGGCAAGAAUAGUGUCAGCUUUAAUACUUGCCAAGCUGGAUUUAAGACUGAAGCUGACCUUUCUGGUCUAAGAAGGCACCUCCUACUACAUACCUCCAGGUCUUAUUGUGGGGGUCUGAUGCAAGACAGCUGGGUCUGCAGAAUAGACCAAUAGAUUGGGUCCCCAAUCUAUAGCGUGGUGUGUCACAGAGCAUCCAAUACCCAUAGAUUGCAGGAAAGAAUCAAGAGAAAAAAAGCCUCUAGGCUGCCUCUAAAACAGUGAUAUCCAACCAGGUUGCAGGUUAAAAUUACUAGGAAGUCUUAAAACCCCUAAUGCCCAAGCAACAUCGGUCAUCUCAGAAUCUUGAGGUUGAACCAGGUACUAGUAUGUACUUGAAAGCUCCCAGGUAAUUCCAAUGUGCAGGUAGGGCUGAGAAACUGCCCUGGGGCUAGGCCUUAACCCAGGUGUGUUUACAAAAAGGAAAAUUGAAGCAGAAAAAGAGAAUGUGCACAGUUUUGAGUGCACAUUCUGAGGCAGGCCUCAGAGAUGGGGUCAAGAUCAGCAGAAACUUCUCCUGAGUGAGUCGCCUCAAUCAGGUAAGUCAUUCUUGCCAGAAGAGGAAAGUGAGGGGGAAGAGACAGGCCGGGGCCUCCUCUCCAGGAUUUUUGUCAGCAAAAGUGUGAGGAAACAAAGAGUAUGCCAGCCCCCCUAAAAACAGUCAUAACAGCUGCAUUGACUCAACUCCCACUGUACACCAGGAGCUGUUCCAUCUACUUUUGUACACUUAACUUUGGAACAAUCCUGUGAGGUAGGUCUAUUUAUCCCCAUUUUACCAAUGAGGAAAUGGAGGCUUGGAGAUGUUAAGUCACUUGCCAAGUUCAAGGAGUAACUGAGUCACAGUACUGGUUUGUCUGGCUACAGAGUCAUACACAGCUAGUUAUUCUUCUAAAGAACAGAGAAACAAAACUCCCAGAGAAACAAAACUCUGUGUGUGCUUGUGUGUGUGUGGAGGAUGAGGAUCUGUGUUUCAUUCAGGUUCUUCAAAUGCUGCAAUUCUUCUUUUAAAUACCCACACACGUACCCAUAAAAUACUGUCUUUCCAUUAGAUGAGGCAUACAAAGUUCAGGCAGAGUGGUCUACCUGGAUUAUUGGAGUGAUGUCCUGUGUAUAGAAAAGUCUGUGAUGUCAAAUGAUGGGCUAAGUCCUCCUAGUGCCAGGAAUUUACCCAAGCCCAUUAAUAUUAGUGGUUUUCCUUCUCCCUUUAGGGGCUGCAAAAGAAAUACUAUUUUAUAUACAUUUUCCCUGGGCUUCCUAGAGUGUGAAAGUCUUGGCAUUUAGUUAGAGAUUUCAUCAUCUGGGUCCCCUGCCAACUGCAGUGGAAUAGUUCAAACCUCCUGGCUAUGAAGGCUCCUUGUCAAGGACCUGUGUACAGUCUGUUUUGCCAAGGAGUAUGCUGUUUGCAAGUCAGCAAAAGGAAGGUUUCUGUAUUCCUCAAACAUCCUAGUAGAAAUAAAAUCUUUGUGAAGAAGACGCUAUACAGAUUGAUUUAAGCCACCUACUUGGCUUUCUCACAGAAGAAUUGGCAUGUUUAAUAAUAUCUUUGUCCCUACCCACGUCAUCCUAACGUAACUUGUGCAUUUGACAAGAUAGAAGGCAAAGAAAGAGCAAGAAGUAGAGGAUGCUGUGGCCCCAGAGUUUAGGGAAAGGAGCUUAGGACCACGAUGUCCACAGUUUUUUGGCACUUGCCCCAAGUUCUGAAAUCCAUAAAUAAUGCUGCAGUGAGAGGAUGUAAGCUUGAAUGUGAUUCAAGCUUGAGUUGAAGACCAGGGAGGCUUCCAUCAAAACUAUUUUUCUUUUGUCAGGAAUCCUUCAUAAUGCCCCAGUUUUGUGAUGCUAUUUUGGUGGAAUUAAAUUUCAAACAGUCCAGAAUUAUGGAAUUUGUUACAUUAUCCUUUGGUGACAAGGCCAGUCACUCUAGAGGCAAGCUUGUUAGGGACCCAAGAGGUAACCAGGGGAUCAGCAGGAAGCAGGUUAAGAACUCUCAGCCUCUUGGUUCACAGUUCUGAGCAUAAAGUGACUAAGCAGCAAGCCCCUCAGUUAGUCCUGGGUA
Molecule: long non-coding RNA, 2760 nt
Filed under: Canis lupus familiaris (dog)
Lineage: Eukaryota; Metazoa; Chordata; Mammalia; Carnivora; Canidae
Description: lncRNA (ENSCAFG00030007872.1)
Source: RNAcentral